GAACUGGCUCGCGAAGACCAGUAGUUCCAGAGCCACUCUGGGCCACAACUGUCUGCACCUGACAGUUCUUGGAGAGUUGGAGACCGUUGACCAGGCUGAGGGCUGACACAGGGCGCCUCGGAACGCCCUGUCCCUGCGUCAUGUGGCCAUCCCUGGUGUUGCUGUUUCUGCUGCUUCCUGCUGCCCAUGGCGCCCCUCACCCGGCUGCCGACCUCCAGGAAAGCUUUCCAAGCGUACUCGAAGGUUUUCACCGGCCUGUAGUGGAGAUCCAAACUGAAGGAGACAGAGGCCUGUGGAGGGAAGACAACCCGUUUGCUGGCCCCCGCUGUCCUCCUGGCUCAUGAGGUGGCUGCUGUGUGGUCCAGAAGCUGGGGCCGAGGACCUGCGGCCUCAUGAGGGCCUACCAGGCACAGGAUUAGGGGCUCCUGCUCCCAAGACCCACUUCUUGUCCCCCUCUGAGGCCCUUGAGCUGCUGAAGGGGCUGGGGGUGAACACCAGUAUCCUAGCAGGGACAGAUGUGGACCUCACCAGACCCAUCUGCAGCACCACUUAAAAAUAAAAGUUAUUUCUUCAA
Long non-coding RNA from Mesocricetus auratus (golden hamster), 574 nucleotides. RefSeq lists it as uncharacterized. Lineage: Eukaryota; Metazoa; Chordata; Mammalia; Rodentia; Cricetidae. The record is from RefSeq and is a predicted model, not a curated record. The transcript is spliced from 3 exons.